RNAcentral lists this unclassified non-coding RNA (291 nucleotides) under Hevea brasiliensis (rubber tree). Lineage: Eukaryota; Viridiplantae; Streptophyta; Magnoliopsida; Malpighiales; Euphorbiaceae. The record is from RNAcentral.
UUUUGAUGUGGAAUUAAUUGGAGAGGGAGCUAGGCAAGAGACUAUAUUGCAGUACAGUCAUGAGAAUGUGAAUAGGACUGUGUUGAAUCCUUACAUUCAUUUUGGGCAGAGGUCGGUUUGGCCUAGAGGGUUGCCAUUGGAGAAUGUGGGUGAAAUUGAAAACGAAGAGUUCUACACUGAGGUUUUUGGUGGGAAACAAUUUAUACAACAAGGGAUUUCGAAUGGAUUGCCAGAUGUUGAUUCUGUGUUUUAUUUUACUAGGAAAUCUGGUUUGGAAGCUUUUGAUAUUAG